AUUUAUUUAGUAUAAAAAGUACACUUGAUUUCCAAUCAAAAAGUCUAAAUAUUGUAGAAUAAAUA
Molecule: transfer RNA, 65 nt
Filed under: Tenodera angustipennis
Lineage: Eukaryota; Metazoa; Arthropoda; Insecta; Mantodea; Mantidae
Description: tRNA-Gly
Source: RNAcentral